UAAUUCUCCUUGGGCUCCUGUGCUCCUGAGCCAGGUUUCCAAAGGUAGAGACUGUUCCAUCUGAGGUCACAAUGGCCCAUCAGGUGUGGGGAGUCAAGACAGGGGAGGACACCUGCAGAGACAUCUGGGCUUCUGAUUUGCCAGGUAUCACAUACCUGAGACAGUUGUCCAUAUAGGGAAAGAGUCCCCAGCAUUUCUGGUUACACCAUGACAGAUGCCUAUGGAUGCCAUAGCCCUGGGAUAUGGGAUUUAAUGGAGAAAGCUCAGCUGUGAAAACCACAGGACACCUGCAUUUGCAUCUGGUUCAGCAAGUUUAUGAUACAAAACCUUGCAGAGCAGGACCAGCCAUUCCUGAAAGAAGACCCUCCAGCACUCAAUGAAAAAGGACCCUCUUUAUCCAUGGAACCCCCCUCCCCUUUGUUCUGCAGCAAGCACACACCAAGCCACAAAGUCCCAGGUUGCAGCUUCUACUCGAUAUCCAAAUGCAACACAGGCACAAGCCUAUUUCCUGAAAUGUAUCAGUGCUGAUAUAUCGUACAUACAGAUGGAGGAUUUAGGUUUCAGAAAGAGAAGGUGAAAUGUUUGUGGAGCCAACAGGAGUCACGAAUGGAUGAUUUUGGUGGUAAAAAUGCCCAUAUUUUGGGUUGAAAAUUUGAUAAAUAAACAAGAACUAUUAAAUUGCUCAAAA
Microcebus murinus (gray mouse lemur) is the source of this 688-nucleotide long non-coding RNA. RefSeq lists it as uncharacterized. The record is from RefSeq and is a predicted model, not a curated record. Lineage: Eukaryota; Metazoa; Chordata; Mammalia; Primates; Cheirogaleidae.